This 1052-nucleotide ribosomal RNA is filed under the name Chaetocnema hortensis. RNAcentral describes it as "16S ribosomal RNA". The stretch from base 366 to 1052 matches the Rfam family "Archaeal large subunit ribosomal RNA", at positions 1423 to 2770 of the family's 2987-position model. The record is from RNAcentral. Lineage: Eukaryota; Metazoa; Arthropoda; Insecta; Coleoptera; Chrysomelidae.
CUCGAAUUUAAAAGAGCUAAUAAAUUAUUAUUUUUAUUGUAGAAUAAAUAUUUUAAAUAAUUUAUUAGUAAUGAAAUGUUAUUCGUUUUUAAAUAUAUCUAGUUUUUUAAGAAAUAAAUUUAAUUUAAUUAUUAAUAAUAUAUUUUUGUAUAUUUAAUUUUAUAUUAUUAAUAUUUAAUAUAUUUAGGGAUGAGCUUAAAUAUAAAUAAUUAAUAAAAAUUUAAAUUUUAAAAAAUUUUAGGAUUAGAAAUUUUCAAAAUUUAUAGUAUGUUAUAAUUAAUUUUUAUUUUAUAUAAUUUAUAUUUUUUAUAAAUUAUUUAUUAAAAUUUAUUUAUUAAUUUUAAAUAUUUAGUAAUAAUGAUAAAAUUAGUAUAAAUUUAUUUAAAUUUAAUUAAUUAAAUUUAGGUUAAUUAAAGGAAUUCGGCAAAUAAUUUUUCACCUGUUUAUUAAAAACAUGGCCUUUUGUAAAAUUUUUAAGGUCUGGCCUGCCCACUGAUAACUUAUUGAAGGGCCGCAGUAUUUUGACUGUGCUAAGGUAGCAUAAUCAUUAGUUUUUUAAUUGAAAGCUAGUAUGAAAGGUUUAAUGAAAAAAUUACUGUCUUUAAUUAAUUUAAUUAGAAUUUUAUUUUUAAGUUAAAAAGCUUAAAUGGUUUUAAAAGACGAGAAGACCCUAUAGAGUUUGAUAUAUUAAAAAUUAUUUAAUUUUAGAAUUUUUAUUAUAUAUUUUUUAAUAUAUUUAAUUGGGGUGAUUAAAAAAUUUAAAAAACUUUUUUUUUAUAAGAAUAUAAAUUAAUAAGUAAAUGAUCCAGAUUUUUUGAUUAUAAGAAUAAAUUACCUUAGGGAUAACAGCGUAAUUUUAUUAGAGAGUUCAAAUCGAUAAUAAAGAUUGCGACCUCGAUGUUGGAUUAAAAUUUAAGUUUGGUGUAGAAGCUAAACAAUUAAGUCUGUUCGACUUUUAAAAUUUUACAUGAUCUGAGUUUAAACCGGUGUGAGCCAGGUUGGUUUCUAUCUUUAAAUAGUUAAUAUAUUUUAGUACGAAAGGACCAAAUAUA